GUGCCUAACACAUGCAAGUCGAACGAGAAAGUGGAGCAAUCCAUGAGUAAAGUGGCGACCGGGUGAGUAACACGUGACUAACCUACCUUUCAGUGGGGAAUAACCUCGGGAAACCGGGGCUAAUACCGCAUAAUGUCCAGGGACCAAAGGAGCAAUUCGCUGGAAGAGGGGGUCGCGGCCGAUUAGCUUGUUGGCGGGGUAACGGCCCACCAAGGCAAUGAUCGGUAGCCGGCCUGAGAGGGCGCACGGCCACACUGGAACUGAAACACGGUCCAG
RNAcentral lists this ribosomal RNA (276 nucleotides) under uncultured bacterium. Its description in RNAcentral is "partial 16S ribosomal RNA". It matches the Rfam family "Bacterial small subunit ribosomal RNA", at positions 44 to 334 of the family's 1533-position model. The record is from RNAcentral.